This 434-nucleotide non-coding RNA is filed under the name Stegodyphus mimosarum. RNAcentral describes it as "eukaryotic small subunit ribosomal RNA". It matches the Rfam family "Eukaryotic small subunit ribosomal RNA", at positions 1190 to 1653 of the family's 1831-position model. Lineage: Eukaryota; Metazoa; Arthropoda; Arachnida; Araneae; Eresidae. The record is from Rfam by way of RNAcentral.
ACAAUUCGUGCUGCUCUUUCCACUUAAACUUCACUCCAUACACAGUUUCGGACACGGGAAAGAUUGACAGAUUAAGAACUCUUUUUUAAUCCUGUGGGUGCUGGUGCAUGAACGUGCUUAGUUGUGGAGCGAUUUGUGUGGUUAAUUCCGAUAACGAACUUUAGCCUACUAAGUAAAUGCUCCGAUCCUUCAAGUCGGACGUUCUUCUUAGAGGGACAAGCGGAGUUUAGCUCCACGAGACAGAGCAAUAACAGGUCUGUGAUGCCGAUUGAUGUCCGGAUCCGCACGCAUGCUACAUUGAAGCAACCCCUGUCCGACAGGACUGGGUAACUCUUUGAACCUCCUUCGUGCUGGGCAUAAGGGCUUGUAACUGUUUCCCUUGAACGAGGAAUUCUCAGUAAGCACGAGUCAUAAGAUCAUGUUGAUUACGUCCC